UACGUAGGUGGCAAGCGUUGUCCGGAUUUACUGGGUGUAAAGGGCGAGUAGGCGGGAUAGAAAGUCAGAUGUGAAAUACCGAGGCUUAACUUCGGGGCUGCAUUUGAAACUUCUGUUCUUGAGUGAUGGAGAGGCAGGCGGAAUUCCCGGUGUAGCGGUGAAAUGCAUAGAGAUCGGGAGGAACACCAGUGGCGAAGGCGGCCUGCUGGACAUUAACUGACGCUGAGGCGCGAAAGUGUGGGGAGCAAACAGGAUUAGAUACCCUGGUAGUCCACACCGUAAACGAUGGAUACUAGGUGUGGGGGGUCUGACCCCCUCCGUGCCGGAGUUAACACAAUAAGUAUCCCACCUGGGGAGUACGAUCGCAAGAUUGAA
Molecule: ribosomal RNA, 375 nt
Filed under: uncultured bacterium
Lineage: Bacteria
Description: bacterial SSU rRNA
Rfam family: Bacterial small subunit ribosomal RNA
Source: RNAcentral